GGCUGGGAAACCGCUUCCGCCUUGUGUGGGGGAGGAACUUCCGGACUCCUAGGGCAAAAGCGCCGCGUGAAAACGCGGGAGGGCAGGGCUAUAUUACCCUGUUCGACGGAAAGUGCAACAGAAAAAAUACCGCCUGCUUUGCAGGUAAGGGUGAAAUGGCGGUUUAAAAGACCACCGCAUAAAGAGUAAUCUUUAUGGCAAGGCAAACCCCGCUUGGAGCAAGGUCAAAGACGCCGAUGCAGUGCCCCUGCGCUAAGGUAAAGUGGACCGCUUAGACAAAUGGUUUCCGGCUUUAGUUUAACUAAAGCAACAGAAUCCGGGGUAUGGCC
Molecule: RNase P RNA, 329 nt
Filed under: bovine gut metagenome
Description: Bacterial RNase P class A
Rfam family: Bacterial RNase P class A
About the family: Ribonuclease P (RNase P) is a ubiquitous endoribonuclease, found in archaea, bacteria and eukarya as well as chloroplasts and mitochondria. Its best characterised activity is the generation of mature 5'-ends of tRNAs by cleaving the 5'-leader elements of precursor-tRNAs. Cellular RNase Ps are ribonucleoproteins.
Source: RNAcentral